Molecule: non-coding RNA, 1617 nt
Organism: Bactrocera oleae (olive fruit fly)
Lineage: Eukaryota; Metazoa; Arthropoda; Insecta; Diptera; Tephritidae
Source: RefSeq, a predicted model, not a curated record
UGGAAUUAUUUUCUUAAACUCGUAAAAAUGUGUGAAAAAGAAUUAAAAAAAUUCUAUAAUUUUGUGAAAGAUAUAAAUUAAAUUUUUAUUACAUACAGAUAUAAAAACUUAUGAGUUGGAAGAGAAACUUGCUCGGGUGUUGUCCCCUGGCAGUCACCUAUGAAAUGGUUGUCUGCACCUAUCAAGCGCAAAAGCAAUUCUUCGAAGCUGUUGGCGAAAAAAAAGUGCCCGAAAGAGCUCUGAAGUAGAAAAUAUUGAUUCUGAUUCUUCAGUUAAACAGGGAAAUAUAGUUAAACAGUAAUGUAUGAGCAGAUUAUGGACCACUUUGGAAAGAAAUUCAUCGCUGUUGGUGAUUAUAAUGCCAAAAACACCUGGUGGAGCUCAUCGCUCGCAAAUCCCAAGGCAAAACACUUUUGAAAUGUAUUUGGAAUAAAGACUUGACAUGUCAGCAGGCAAGCCAACUUAUUGGCCAUCUGACCUCACAAAAAUUCAAGACAUUCUUUAUUUUGCUAUUUCGAAAGGUCUUAACUCAAGACACAUACGCACUUCCAUCGGUUUGGACCUUCAAUCUAACCACAGCGCAGUUCAGCUAGAGGUUAAUACGUCGGUUCUCGCAAUGUACAAACCCACAAGUGUUCUUGUCAAAGGGACAAACAUUUUAUAAUUUCGUACAUGUCUAGAAAACAAUGAGAAAGACAAUAUCGCCAUUUUCUCUGAGUCAAAUAUUGGUUAUGCUUCGGAAGCUUUGACCAGAAGCAUACACAAUGCUGCCCACGUGUGUACGCCUGUUGCCAACUCCUCACAGAGCAACCACAAGCGGGACAGGCAUCUCUGGUCCAAUGAAGUAAUGACAAAGCUGAGAGAGAAGAGACGUCUUCGGCAUGCAUUGCAAGUCAGCAGAAAUCCAUAUAACAAAACUCAUCCGAACCGUGCUACGAAGGAGCUGAAGAAGAUUCUCUGGAAACUUACCAACAAGUACCUAGAGGAGUAUCUGGUUGCUGCCAAACCAGUAAAUCCAGAAAGCAAUCUUUCGAAUGCGAAGAGACAAAAGAAAAAGCCUACAACCAGAUGUCCAGCAAUUAUUAACAUCAGAGGUCUCUGCUGCUAAACUAAGAAGAAAAAGUCGAUGAGUUUGCCACAAAUCUUCAAAACACCUUUACCCCUAACAAGCUUAGCUUGCGAUGCUAGCAAUGCUGAAAUCAUCAAUUUUUUAGACGUUGCUUGUCAGAUGGAGCUACCAAUCGUUGAAAUAGAAAAUGUAGAGACUUCAUUAGUGCUAAUCCCGACUUAUUUGCCCUAAUGCGUGAGUUUUAUUGUUUGCCUACAAUAUAAGCCUGGCAGCAUCAGUUGAAGGUGAAAUUUCUAUUCAUUUUGUGAUGUAAAGUGUGUAUGAAAAUAAGGAUUAAACGUAUGACUGAAAUAGAAUGAGUGGAAGCGUUUCCUAAUGAUUUUAUAAGUAUAAGAUUCGUAUGUUUUACAUAUAUUUGGUGUCACUGUAGUAGGAGGAUUUUUAGGCAGUUAAAUGCUUGUAGAUAAAGCACAAUAUUCAUAUUUAGUUGUACAUAUUAAAAUGCCAUAACUAUUUUAUUAUAAUAUGUUUUUCAAAUAUAUUGAAGU